GACACUUCAAAACCAUUUGUAAUUGCAUUCUUUGUCUUAAAAACUAUAAUAGUUACAACUUUCAACAACGGAUCUCUUGGUUCUGGCAUCGAUGAAGAACGCAACGAAAUGCGAAAAGUAGUGUGAAUUGCAGAAUUCAGUGAAUCAUCGAAUCUUUGAACGCACAUUGCGCCCCUUGGUAUUCCAUGGGGCAUGCCUGUUCGAGCGUCAUUUGUACCCUCAAGCUCUGCUUGGUGUUGGGUGUUUGUCCCGCCUUCGCGUGUGGACUCGCCUUAAAGUCAUUGGCAGCCGGAAUAAUUCUGGGGAACGCAGCACAACUGCAGCCUCCAUUUUACGCCGAGCGUCCAGUAAGCCUUUUUUUCACGUUUGACCUCGGAUCAGGUAGGGAUACCCGCUGAACUUAAGCAUAUCA
Molecule: ribosomal RNA, 412 nt
Filed under: Pleosporaceae sp. nwa_sqmc_25_5h
Lineage: Eukaryota; Fungi; Ascomycota; Dothideomycetes; Pleosporales; Pleosporaceae
Description: eukaryotic LSU rRNA
Rfam family: 5.8S ribosomal RNA (bases 57-210)
Source: RNAcentral